RNAcentral lists this ribosomal RNA (253 nucleotides) under uncultured bacterium. RNAcentral describes it as "partial 16S ribosomal RNA". It matches the Rfam family "Bacterial small subunit ribosomal RNA", at positions 524 to 776 of the family's 1533-position model. The record is from RNAcentral.
UACGGGAGAGGCAAGCGUUGUUCGGAAUCACUGGGCUUAAAGCGCGUGUAGGCGGCCCCUCAAGUACCUUGUGAAAUCCUGCGUCUCAACCGCAGAAUGGCUGGGUAUACUGUGGGGCUCGAGGUAGGUAGAGGUGCCUGGAACUCUAGGUGGAGCGGUGAAAUGCGUAGAUAUCUAGAGGAACGCCCGUGGCGAAAGCGGGGCACUGGGCCUGUCCUGACGCUGAGACGCGAAAGCGUGGGGAGCAAACGGG